UAUUUUCUUGAUUAAUCAAUUAGUUGUUCGGUCUAUAAAAUGUCCGAAAAUGUGGAUUAGUGGUCUUUUCCAAA
Molecule: long non-coding RNA, 74 nt
Organism: Etheostoma cragini (Arkansas darter)
Lineage: Eukaryota; Metazoa; Chordata; Actinopteri; Perciformes; Percidae
Exons: 3
Source: RefSeq, a predicted model, not a curated record